Molecule: long non-coding RNA, 246 nt
Filed under: Elaeis guineensis (African oil palm)
Lineage: Eukaryota; Viridiplantae; Streptophyta; Magnoliopsida; Arecales; Arecaceae
Description: long non-coding RNA (EGUI_LNC071108)
Source: RNAcentral
AAGCCCAGUGCAGAAAGCUUCUUGGUAUAAAUAGAAGCAGUCGGGGGGAGGAGCGCUAGCCUGGCCAGUCGGCCUGGGAAGCUCUAGCUCGUACUCCGGAGGAACCCCGUACUGAAUUCUAAUCAGUGAGAGUUUCUCCGAAGUCAGAGAACUGGAGAUGGUGUCUGGUAUAAAGAUCGAACGAGGUUCAUCUAUAGAACUAAGGUUUUGGGAAGUUGGGAUGGACGAACUCCUAAAACUGCUGGA